GACGAACCGAGCGAACGUUAUUCGGAAUCACUGGGCUCAAAGGGCGCGUAGGCGGGUUGCCAAGGUCGGGGUGAAAUCCUCCAGCUCAACUGGAGAACUGCCUCGAAUACUGGUGAUCUCGAGGAAGGGAGGGGCAUGCGGAACUGUGGGUGGAGCGGUGAAAUGCGUUGAUAUCCAUAGGAACUCCGGUGGCGAAGGCGGCAUGCUGGACCUUUUCUGACGCUGAGGCGCGAAAGCCAGGGGAGCAAACGGG
RNAcentral lists this ribosomal RNA (253 nucleotides) under uncultured bacterium. RNAcentral's name for it is "partial 16S ribosomal RNA". It matches the Rfam family "Bacterial small subunit ribosomal RNA", at positions 524 to 776 of the family's 1533-position model. The record is from RNAcentral.